UGAAUACGAGACGCUAAGGCGUCGAAGUAGUGUAUGUCAUACUUCCAAGAAAAGCUUGCACUGUCAUAGAUAAAAAACGCCUGUACCAUAACCGACACAGGUGGGUAGGUAGAGUAUACUAAGGGGCGCGAGAUAACUCUCUCUAAGGAACUCGGCAAAAUAACUCCGUAACUUCGGGAGAAGGAGUGCCUUAUUAUUAAGGUUGCAAUAACAAGAUCCAAGCAACUGUUUAUCAAAAACACAGGUCUCCGCUAAGUCGUAAGACGAUGUAUGGGGGCUGACGCCUGCCCAGUGCCAGAAGGUUAAAGAAGCUGGUUAGCAUUUGCGAAGCUAGUAACUGAAGCCCUGGUGAACGGCGGCCGUAACUAUAACGUUCCUAAGGUAGCGAAAUUCCUUGUCGGGUAAGUUCCGACCCGCACGAAAGGCGUAAUGAUUUGGAUACUGUCUCGGAGAGGGGCUCGGUGAAAUAGACUUGUCUGUGAAGAUGCGGACUACCUGCACCAGGACAGAAAGACCCUAUGAAGCUUUACUGUAACUUGAAAUUGAAAUUGGACUUUAUUCGCGCAGUAUAGGUGGGAGGCGUUGAUUAUAAUCUUGCGGGAUUAUUGGAGCCAUUAGUGAGAUACCACUCUUGUAAUGUUAGAUUUCUAACUUUGAAUCAUUAUCUGGUCAAAGAACAGUUUCAGGCGGGCAGUUUGACUGGGGCGGUCGCCUCCUAAACGGUAACGGAGGCGUACAAAGGUUUCCUCUGAACGGUUAGAAAUCGUAUCUAGAGUGUAAAGGCAUAAGGAAGCUUGACUGUGAGACCUACAAGUCGAGCAGGGACGAAAGUCGGUCUUAGUGAUCUGACGGUACUGAGUGGAAAGGCCGUCACUCAACGGAUAAAAGUUACUCUAAGGAUAACAGGCUGAUCUCCCCCAAGAGUUCACAUCGACGGGGAGGUUUGGCACCUUGAUGUCGGCUCAUCGCAUCCUGGGGCGGUAGUACGUCCCAAGGGUUGGGCUGUUCGCCCAUGAAAGCGGUACGCGAGCUGGGUUCAGAACGUCGUGAGACAGUUCGGUCCAUAUCCGGUGUAGGCGUUAGAAUAUUGAGAGGAGCCUUCUUUAGUACGAGAGGACCGAGAAGGACAUACCUCUGGUGUACCAGUUAUCGUGCCAACGGUAGACGCUGGGUAGCUAUGUAUGGAGUGGAUAACCGCUGAAAGCAUCUAAGUGGGAAGCCCACCUCAAGAUAAGUAUUCCC
This 1242-nucleotide ribosomal RNA is filed under the name metagenome. RNAcentral describes it as "bacterial LSU rRNA". It matches the Rfam family "Bacterial large subunit ribosomal RNA", at positions 1564 to 2815 of the family's 2925-position model. The record is from RNAcentral.